RNAcentral lists this ribosomal RNA (253 nucleotides) under uncultured microorganism. RNAcentral's name for it is "partial 16S ribosomal RNA". It matches the Rfam family "Bacterial small subunit ribosomal RNA", at positions 524 to 776 of the family's 1533-position model. The record is from RNAcentral.
UACGGAGGGGGCGAGCGUUGUUCGGAGUUACUGGGCGUAAAGCGCACGUAGGCGGUGCGGUAAGUCAGGGGUUAAAGGCUGCAGCUCAACUGCAGUAAGGCCUUUGAUACUAUCGUGCUAGAGUGUCAGAGAGGAUGGCGGAAUUCCCGGUGUAGCGGUGAAAUGCGUAGAUAUCGGGAGGAAGGCCGGUGGCGAAGGCGGCCUCCUGGGCCUGCACUGACGCUCAUGCACGAAAGCGUGGGGAGCAAACAGG